Molecule: ribosomal RNA, 273 nt
Filed under: uncultured bacterium
Lineage: Bacteria
Description: partial 16S ribosomal RNA
Rfam family: Bacterial small subunit ribosomal RNA
Source: RNAcentral
UACGUAGGGGGCGAGCGUUGUCCGGAUUUAUUGGGCGUAAAGGGCGUGUAGGCGGCCUUGUAAGUCAGAGGUGAAAACCCAGAGCUCAACUCUGGGAGUGCCUCUGAAACUGCUUGGCUUGAGUGCUCUAGAGGGCAGUGGAAUUGCCGGUGUAGCAGUGAAAUGCGUAGAGAUCGGCAGGAACACCAGUGGCGAAGGCGACUGCCUGGGGAGUAACUGACGCUGAGGCGCGAAAGCUGGGGGAGCAAACGGGAUUAGAAACCCCCGUAGUCC